This 301-nucleotide ribosomal RNA is filed under the name uncultured bacterium. RNAcentral's name for it is "partial 16S ribosomal RNA". It matches the Rfam family "Bacterial small subunit ribosomal RNA", at positions 509 to 809 of the family's 1533-position model. The record is from RNAcentral.
CAGCCGCCGCGGUAAUACGAAGGGGGCUAGCGUUGUCCGGAAUUACUGGGCGUAAAGCGCACGUAGGCGGAUAUUUAAGUCAGGGGUGAAAUCCCGCAGCUCAACUGCGGAACUGCCUUUGAUACUGGGUAUCUUGAGUAUGGAAGAGGUUAGUGGAAUUGCGAGUGUAGAGGUGAAAUUCGUAGAUAUUCGCAGGAACACCAGUGGCGAAGGCGGCUAACUGGUCCAUAACUGACGCUGAGGUGCGAAAGCGUGGGGAGCAAACAGGAUUAGAUACCCCAGUAGUCCCUGUCUCUUAUAU